AUAAGAUUUUAAUUGAAUGCUAAGAGAAUGGAAGUCCAGAAAAAAACUUUUUUUAAAUUAAAAAUUGAAGUUUUUUUAAUUUGUGCAGAAACAAUUAUUUAUAUUAAAGACAAGAAGACCCUAUGAAUUUAUUAAAUUUUUAUUUAAUAUGUAAUUACUAUUAGAAAAAUUUUGGCUGGGGCGGCUAGAAAAUAUUAUAAACUUUUUAAAAAUAAAAUGAUCCAUUAUUAAUGAUUUUAUGUUAAAUACUCUAGGGAUAACAGCGUUAUAUUUUUUGAUAGAUCAUAUUGACAAAAGAGUUUGCGACCUCGAUGUUGGAUUAGGAUACUUUUUAAUGAAGAUAUAA
This 346-nucleotide ribosomal RNA is filed under the name Rhipicephalus sanguineus (brown dog tick). RNAcentral's name for it is "partial large subunit ribosomal RNA". The record is from RNAcentral. Lineage: Eukaryota; Metazoa; Arthropoda; Arachnida; Ixodida; Ixodidae.